This 1480-nucleotide ribosomal RNA is filed under the name Bacillus sp. mixed culture J17-4. Its description in RNAcentral is "bacterial SSU rRNA". It matches the Rfam family "Bacterial small subunit ribosomal RNA". Lineage: Bacteria; Bacillati; Bacillota; Bacilli; Caryophanales; Bacillaceae. The record is from RNAcentral.
UCCUGGCUCAGGACGAACGCUGGCGGCGUGCCUAAUACAUGCAAGUCGAGCGGACAGAAGGGAGCUUGCUCCCGGAUGUUAGCGGCGGACGGGUGAGUAACACGUGGGUAACCUGCCUGUAAGACUGGGAUAACUCCGGGAAACCGGAGCUAAUACCGGAUAGUUCCUUGAACCGCAUGGUUCAAGGAUGAAAGACGGUUUCGGCUGUCACUUACAGAUGGACCCGCGGCGCAUUAGCUAGUUGGUGGGGUAAUGGCUCACCAAGGCGACGAUGCGUAGCCGACCUGAGAGGGUGAUCGGCCACACUGGGACUGAGACACGGCCCAGACUCCUACGGGAGGCAGCAGUAGGGAAUCUUCCGCAAUGGACGAAAGUCUGACGGAGCAACGCCGCGUGAGUGAUGAAGGUUUUCGGAUCGUAAAGCUCUGUUGUUAGGGAAGAACAAGUGCGAGAGUAACUGCUCGCACCUUGACGGUACCUAACCAGAAAGCCACGGCUAACUACGUGCCAGCAGCCGCGGUAAUACGUAGGUGGCAAGCGUUGUCCGGAAUUAUUGGGCGUAAAGGGCUCGCAGGCGGUUUCUUAAGUCUGAUGUGAAAGCCCCCGGCUCAACCGGGGAGGGUCAUUGGAAACUGGGAAACUUGAGUGCAGAAGAGGAGAGUGGAAUUCCACGUGUAGCGGUGAAAUGCGUAGAGAUGUGGAGGAACACCAGUGGCGAAGGCGACUCUCUGGUCUGUAACUGACGCUGAGGAGCGAAAGCGUGGGGAGCGAACAGGAUUAGAUACCCUGGUAGUCCACGCCGUAAACGAUGAGUGCUAAGUGUUAGGGGGUUUCCGCCCCUUAGUGCUGCAGCUAACGCAUUAAGCACUCCGCCUGGGGAGUACGGUCGCAAGACUGAAACUCAAAGGAAUUGACGGGGGCCCGCACAAGCGGUGGAGCAUGUGGGUUAAUUCGAAGCAACGCGAAGAACCUUACCAGGUCUUGACAUCCUCUGACAACCCUAGAGAUAGGGCUUUCCCUUCGGGGACAGAGUGACAGGUGGUGCAUGGUUGUCGUCAGCUCGUGUCGUGAGAUGUUGGGUUAAGUCCCGCAACGAGCGCAACCCUUGAUCUUAGUUGCCAGCAUUCAGUUGGGCACUCUAAGGUGACUGCCGGUGACAAACCGGAGGAAGGUGGGGAUGACGUCAAAUCAUCAUGCCCCUUAUGACCUGGGCUACACACGUGCUACAAUGGACAGAACAAAGGGCUGCAAGACCGCAAGGCUUAGCCAAUCCCAUAAAUCUGUUCUCAGUUCGGAUCGCAGUCUGCAACUCGACUGCGUGAAGCUGGAAUCGCUAGUAAUCGCGGAUCAGCAUGCCGCGGUGAAUACGUUCCCGGGCCUUGUACACACCGCCCGUCACACCACGAGAGUUUGCAACACCCGAAGUCGGUGAGGUAACCUUUAUGGAGCCAGCCGCCGAAGGUGGGGCAGAUGAUUGGGG